GAGUGGCGGACGGGUGAGUAACGCGUAGGAAUCUACCCAGUAGUGGGGGAUAGCCCGGGGAAACUCGGAUUAAUACCGCAUACGCCCUACGGGGGAAAGGCCGGGAUCUUCGGACCGGUCGCUAUUGGAUGAGCCUGCGUUGGAUUAGCUAGUUGGUAGGGUAAAGGCCUACCAAGGCGACGAUCCAUAGCUGGUCUGAGAGGAUGAUCAGCCACACUGGAACUGAGACACGGUCCAGAC
Molecule: ribosomal RNA, 240 nt
Filed under: Tripos fusus
Lineage: Eukaryota; Dinophyceae; Gonyaulacales; Ceratiaceae
Description: partial Bacterial small subunit ribosomal RNA
Rfam family: Bacterial small subunit ribosomal RNA
Source: RNAcentral